Molecule: ribosomal RNA, 221 nt
Filed under: Clostridioides difficile
Lineage: Bacteria; Bacillati; Bacillota; Clostridia; Peptostreptococcales; Peptostreptococcaceae
Description: partial 16S ribosomal RNA
Rfam family: Bacterial small subunit ribosomal RNA
Source: RNAcentral
UACGGGAUAACAUAUUUGAGAGGCAUCUCUUAAAUAUCAAAGGUGAGCCAGUACAGGAUGGACCCGCGUCUGAUUAGCUAGUUGGUAAGGUAAUGGCUUACCAAGGCGACGAUCAGUAGCCGACCUGCGAGGGUGAUCGGCCACAUUGGAACUGAGACACGGUCCAAACUCCUACGGGAGGCAGCAGUGGGGAAUAUUGCACAAUGGGCGAAAGCCUGAUG